RNAcentral lists this ribosomal RNA (450 nucleotides) under uncultured bacterium. RNAcentral's name for it is "partial 16S ribosomal RNA". It matches the Rfam family "Bacterial small subunit ribosomal RNA", at positions 354 to 796 of the family's 1533-position model. The record is from RNAcentral.
GUGGGGAAUUUUGGACAAUGGGCGCAAGCCUGAUCCAGCAAUGCCGCGUGCAGGAAGAAGGCCUUCGGGUUGUAAACUGCUUUUGUACGGAACGAAACGGUCCGGGUUAAUACCCUGGGCUAAUGACGGUACCGUAAGAAUAAGCACCGGCUAACUACGUGCCAGCAGCCGCGGUAAUACGUAGGGUGCAAGCGUUAAUCGGAAUUACUGGGCGUAAAGCGUGCGCAGGCGGUUUUGUAAGACAGGCGUGAAAUCCCCGGGCUCAACCGGGGAAUUGCGCUUGUGACUGCAAGGCUGGAGUGCGGCAGAGGGGGAUGGAAUUCCGCGUGUAGCAGUGAAAUGCGUAGAUAUGCGGAGGAACACCGAUGGCGAAGGCAAUCCCCUGGGCCUGCACUGACGCUCAUGCACGAAAGCGUGGGGAGCAAACAGGAUUAGAAACCCUAGUAGUCC